This 400-nucleotide ribosomal RNA is filed under the name uncultured soil bacterium. Its description in RNAcentral is "bacterial SSU rRNA". It matches the Rfam family "Bacterial small subunit ribosomal RNA", at positions 26 to 456 of the family's 1533-position model. The record is from RNAcentral.
AGAACGAACGCUGGCGGCAUGCCUAAUACAUGCAAGUCGAACGAACUCUUCGGAGUUAGUGGCGCACGGGUGCGUAACGCGUGGGAAUCUGCCCCUUGGUUCGGAAUAACAGUUGGAAACGACUGCUAAUACCGGAUGAUGACGAAAGUCCAAAGAUUUAUCGCCAAGGGAUGAGCCCGCGUAGGAUUAGCUAGUUGGUGAGGUAAAAGCUCACCAAGCCGACGAUCUGUAGCUGGUUUGAGAGAACGACCAGCCACACUGGGACUGAGACACGGCCCAGACUCCUACGGGAGGCAGCAGUGGGGAAUUUUGGACAAUGGGCGAAAGCCUGAUCAGCGAUGCGCGUGCAGGAAGAAGGCCUUCGGGUUGUAAACUGCUUUUGUACGGAACGAAAAGGCUC